This 349-nucleotide long non-coding RNA is filed under the name Phascolarctos cinereus (koala). RNAcentral's name for it is "lncRNA (ENSPCIG00000027293.2)". Lineage: Eukaryota; Metazoa; Chordata; Mammalia; Diprotodontia; Phascolarctidae. The record is from RNAcentral.
AGGCUAUUUCCCAAUGGUAUCUUUCUGAAACUCAGUGUACAUGUUUGCACUCCACAGAUUGAACAGCAGGAUGAUUAAUGCCCACAAGGGGGAAUGGGACAAGACUCCCAGAAGAUAUGAGCCUUUCUCAGUUGCAUAUGGAGGAUAGGGACCAGAUGACCUGAAGUGACAGACCUAUGAAGUGGUGGCUGAGGAACCCUUUGAGUGAUAAUAGCUGAUGACAAGAGUGGCAGUGCCUAUACUUGGAGCAGAGAGAUAUAUCAAGGAUAGAUGCACAAGGAGCAAAAACCAGCCAAGGAAACUUUGGUUCACAACCUUAAUCCUCAUCAAAGACAGGAUUUAAAAUGCC